GGGUGAGUAACACGUAUCCAACCUGCCGUCUACUCUUGGACAGCCUUCUGAAAGGAAGAUUAAUACAAGAUGGCAUCAUGAGUCCACAUGUUCACAUGAUUAAAGGUAUUCCGGUAGACGAUGGGGAUGCGUUCCAUUAGAUAGUAGGCGGGGUAACGGCCCACCUAGUCUUCGAUGGAUAGGGGUUCUGAGAGGAAGGUCCCCCACAUUGGAACUGAGACACGGUCCAAACUCCUACGGGAGGCAGCAGUGAGGAAUAUUGGUCAAUGGGCGAGAGCCUGAACCAGCCAAGUAGCGUGAAGGAUGACUGCCCUAUGGGUUGUAAGCUUCUUUUAUAAAGGAAUAAAGUCGGGUAUGCAUACCCGUUUGCAUGUACUUUAUGAAUAAGGAUCGGCUAACUCCGUGCCAGCAGCCGCGGUAAUACGGAGGAUCCGAGCGUUAUCCGGAUUUAUUGGGUUUAAAGGGAGCGUAGAUGGAUGUUUAAGUCAGUUGUGAAAGUUUGCGGCUCAACCGUAAAAUUGCAGUUGAUACUGGAUAUCUUGAGUGCAGUUGAGGCAGGCGGAAUUCGUGGUGUAGCGGUGAAAUGCUUAGAUAUCACGAAGAACUCCGAUUGCGAAGGCAGCCUGCUAAGCUGCAACUGACAUUGAGGCUCGAAAGUGUGGGUAUCAAACAGGAUUAGAUACCCUGGUAGUCCACACGGUAAACGAUGAAUACUCGCUGUUUGCGAUAUACUGCAAGCGGCCAAG
RNAcentral lists this ribosomal RNA (746 nucleotides) under uncultured bacterium. Its description in RNAcentral is "bacterial SSU rRNA". It matches the Rfam family "Bacterial small subunit ribosomal RNA", at positions 104 to 851 of the family's 1533-position model. The record is from RNAcentral.